Gallus gallus (chicken) is the source of this 2498-nucleotide long non-coding RNA. NCBI's taxonomy places the organism in Eukaryota, Metazoa, Chordata, Aves, Galliformes, Phasianidae. The record is from Ensembl.
UGAAUACUGAAGAGCAAGUAAUAAUAGGUACGGUAUUAGCGGCAUUCAUUUUGUUCACUGAUUUUAAGUUUACACAUUGAAAUCAAGAAGUAAUAAAUACUGGAAUUUUUGGCAUUUGGACAUUCCCUGGAAAACUCAAGAAUUGUUAAGUACUUUCAGAAAAGAAAUAGAGAGAACAUGCAUCUCACUAGUUACUGGCUGUAUGUUACAUCUCUUGUUAAGAUAGCCUGCCUAUCUGAAGAGAUCAUUACUGAUUCAAAGACCAGAAAAAUAUAAAAAAGGAAGACAGGUUCCUGAAAAAGGUGUUGGAUCUGGAUCUAGUAAAACAUGAAAGAUUUGUUACAAGUAUUACAAGUAUUUCAAACGUAAAGCUGCAGAUCUGUGACAAAGAAUGCAGGCCACACCUAAAGAAGAAGAAACUCGUCUAUCCUAGGAUGCAUUCAUUCUGUUACAAACACGGAAAAUCAGUAAUUAAAAGAACAUAAGUUUGUAGUGAAAUGAGCACCGAAGAGAUUUAGAUGAUUCUUAGAAAUAAUAAGCACAAAAAUAUCAAACAGGAAGAAACAGGUUAUAUUGUCUCAGUGCUGUGAACUCCGUAAACCACUCCAAAAUACUGUGCCUGCUUCCUGUACCUGCAGAAGUACACUGAGGAAUAGGACAGGCUUCAAAGAACAACAACAAAAAUAAUGAAAAUAUUAUGUAAGAGAAAGUCUCUAUUUACACAGCUAUUAUAGGACUCAAAGCAACAGCUAAUUCUGGGGAAUCCUACAGCAUGCACUAUGCAUGGGUCAAGAUAGAAGUGCUGGAACAGUCUCUUACUACUGAUAUAUUUCAAAAGAUGUUUUUAUUUCUACACAUAGAAACUUGUAUACUUGGGCAAAGUACUGGAAGUGCUCAACUAUUAAAAAAAUAUCCACAGCGUGGACUUGCAAGAAGUGAAGAAGUUGUUCACAUCCAGUUUCUACAAGGGAAACUUGUGCAGAAAAGGAUGGUGAACUUUACCAUUCAAAUGAAGAUACUUCUGCGGUUUGUUUAAGGACAUUCUACAAAAGAUUCCUCCUAUUGAUUGAUCUUUCUUUUUGCAAAUUCACUGGAGUUUUUCUAAUAGCAUUACUCAGAAGAGUUCUCAGCCAAACUGAAUUACAAAGAACAAAUGGUUCCAGGGCCUCUAAGGAAUCUCUGCUCAGCAAGCUGGUGUGGUUUUAUUCCUUGGAAAAGGUUUUGUUAUUCUAUCAGGGAUUUUACUGCCUAAAACAAAACUGAUUAAAAAAAAAGGGAAAGGAAAAUCCUAUCAUCAUGAGCUUCAAAAGCAGGAAAAAAAAUAUCUAUUUCUGAAGGUCUCAGGGAUUUUCUUUCAUACACAGACCUCAAGAAAAAUCAGCGUUCUUUCUUAUGCAUGUUGCAAAUCUACCUACUGAACCAUGAAGUUUAGGACUCUCCAGCUUCAUAUUUCUCCUGUACUGCCUGACUUUAUUUUUAACACUUCUCCCACACUACUGGGAGAGUACUGCCCAGACUCCAACCAGCACCAAACCUGGAACUCAGUUCUGUUCUUCUUCAUCCAGUAUCCCACCCCACAGACUGUAUAAUGACCUGAAUCCCAGUAUAGUUACUACAGGAAUAGAAAACAUUUUUUCCUAAACAUCCUUUGUCUUUUGAUUUGGAUCAUUCAUAAGCACAUUUUAAGACCUAUCUUGUAUUCAACACCUUUUCAUUACGAAUAACUAACAGUUAAAGAAUUCUUAAGACUAAGUAUUUUGUACUGAUUGGUGCAAUGCAAUCUGAGAUUUAUAUAUAUAUUUGGACAAAAAGCAGCACAUCACGAAAAAUACAAAGUACUAAAAGUAAAUGAAAUAUUAAUUAGAAAUCAAGUAUGUUAUUCUUGAUAAAAAUCUUUUUUUCACUACGUAGUGAAUAUGAAUGUAUGAAUAUGUAUGCAGUUCUCCACAUGAAAUAUAAUGUACAAUAUGUUUGUUCUGUACGUUCUUAUUGGGAAGCAAUAAUGAAGAUCAUGGAGAUAAAAGAAAUUCAAGAAAGAGAGAUAAAAGCCUGAUAUCACUGAAGUUAGUAGCAAAAACUCCUUUUUGAUUCAAAUAAGGUUAACUUUUACAUUUGUUAUACAAUAAUAUGUUUUUUCUGGAACAAUUGUUUUGUGGCAUAUCCAUCAUGCAGAGAAGCUCCAUUUUUAUUUUACUUAUUUCUUUUUAUAGUGUAAUACUGUAUUCUCUGUACCUUGGUGUAACAAAAAACUUAAUGUUUGACAGACUGAGCACUUCCUUUUUAAGUCACUGGUCAUCACUGACUUUGCUGUUCAUCUUACCUAAGAAUUAACUUUCUCUCUUUUAAGUGAAAACUUGAUACUGAUAUUUAAAAUCCCACAUAUUCCUGUUUGGACUACCACUAUUUUUAGCUACAAAAAGCUGUUUGAUAUUCAUUUUUUUUUUUUAUUCAAAUGGUAGAAUUCUCAACCUCAUCUUCAUUCAGGUCCCAGAAGUUAC